CGGCAAGUCCCACACGAUCAGCUCCCGCUGAAUUCCCCCAGGACCGGAAGGUAGCAAGGGUAGGUGGUUGUAGCGGUGCGAUGUGGGUCGCUUGCCACUU
RNAcentral lists this signal recognition particle RNA (100 nucleotides) under Bacteroidales bacterium. RNAcentral describes it as "signal recognition particle sRNA small type". It matches the Rfam family "Bacteroidales small SRP", at positions 9 to 102 of the family's 107-position model. Rfam says of the family: The non-coding component of the signal recognition particle in Bacteroides The record is from RNAcentral. Lineage: Bacteria; Pseudomonadati; Bacteroidota; Bacteroidia; Bacteroidales.